AUUGAACGCUGGCGGCAUGCCUAACACAUGCAAGUCGAACGAGUGGCGGACGGGUGAGUAAUGUAUGGGAAACUGCCCGAUGGAGGGGGAUAACUACUGGAAACGGUAGCUCAUACCGCAUACACUCGGAUGUACCCAGAUGGGAUUAGCUAGUUGGUGGGGUAACGGCUCACCUAGGCGACGAUCCCUAGCUGGUAUGAGAGGAUGACCCGCCACACUGGAACGGAGAAACGGUCCAGACUCCUACGGGAGGCAGCAGUGGGGAAUAUUGCACAAUGGGCGAAAGCCUGGUGCAGCCAUGCCGCGUGUAUGAAGAAGGCCUUCGGGUUGUAAAGUACUUUCAGCGAGGAGGCGUUACUCGCAGAAGAAGCACCGGCUAACUCCGUGCCAGCAGCCGCGGUAAUUC
Molecule: ribosomal RNA, 406 nt
Filed under: uncultured bacterium
Lineage: Bacteria
Description: partial 16S ribosomal RNA
Rfam family: Bacterial small subunit ribosomal RNA
Source: RNAcentral